AUACGGAGGGGGCUAGCGUUGUUCGGAAUUACUGGGCGUAAAGCGCGCGUAGGCGGUUUACCAAGUCAGGCGUGAAAGCCCCAGGCUCAACCUGGGAACUGCGCUUGAUACUGGUAGACUAGAGGCCGGGAGAGGGUAGUGGAAUUCCCAGUGUAGAGGUGAAAUUCGUAGAUAUUAGGAAGAACACCAGUGGCGAAGGCGGCUCACUGGUCCGGUACUGACGCUGAGGUGCGAAAGCGUGGGGAGCAAACAGGAUUAGAUACCCCAGUAGUCC
RNAcentral lists this ribosomal RNA (274 nucleotides) under uncultured bacterium. RNAcentral's name for it is "partial 16S ribosomal RNA". It matches the Rfam family "Bacterial small subunit ribosomal RNA", at positions 523 to 796 of the family's 1533-position model. The record is from RNAcentral.